This 727-nucleotide ribosomal RNA is filed under the name Pseudomonas aeruginosa. Its description in RNAcentral is "bacterial SSU rRNA". It matches the Rfam family "Bacterial small subunit ribosomal RNA", at positions 1 to 714 of the family's 1533-position model. The record is from RNAcentral. Lineage: Bacteria; Pseudomonadati; Pseudomonadota; Gammaproteobacteria; Pseudomonadales; Pseudomonadaceae.
UUUUGGAAUAGGUUAGAUUCUGGCUCAGAGUGAGACUCUGGCGGUAGGCCUAACACAUGCACGUCGAACGGCAGCACAGGAGAGCUUGCUCUCUGGGUGGCGAGUGGCGGACGGGUGAGGAAUACAUCGGAAUCUACUUUUUCGUGGGGGAUAACGUAGCGAAACUUACGCUAAUACCGCAUACGACCUACGGGUGAAAGCAGGGGAUCUUCGGACCUUGCGCGAUUGAAUGAGCCGAUGUCGGAUUAGCUAGUUGGCGGGGUAAAGGCUCACCAAGGCGACGAUCCGUAGCUGGUCUGAGAGGAUGAUCAGCCACACUGGAACUGAGACACGGUCCAGACUCCUACGGGAGGCAGCAGUGGGGAAUAUUGGACAAUGGGCGCAAGCCUGAUCCAGCCAUACCGCGUGGGUGAAGAAGGCCUUCGGGUUGUAAAGCCCUUUUGUUGGGAAAGAAAUCCAGCUGGCUAAUACCCGGUUGGGAUGACGGUACCCAAAGAAUAAGCACCGGCUAACUUCGUGCCAGCAGCCGCGGUAAUACGAAGGGUGCAAGCGUUACUCGGAAUUACUGGGCGUAAAGCGUGCGUAGGUGGUUGUUUAAGUCCGUUGUGAAAGCCCUGGGCUCAACCUGGGAACUGCAGUGGAUACUGGGCGAGCUAGAGUGUGGUAGAGGGUAGCGGAAUUCCUGGUGUAGCAGUGAAAUGCGUAGAGAUCAGGAGGAACAUCCCAU